Molecule: ribosomal RNA, 427 nt
Filed under: uncultured prokaryote
Description: bacterial SSU rRNA
Rfam family: Bacterial small subunit ribosomal RNA
Source: RNAcentral
UGAGGAUCAUUUGCAAUGGGCGCAAGCCUGACAAUGCGACGCUGCGUGGAGGAUGACGGCCUUCGGGUUGUAAACUCCUGUCGUCCGGGAACAAUAUCGGGAGGGUUAAUAACCCUGCCGGUUGAUGGUACCGGAAAAGGAAGUCACGGCUAACUCUGUGCCAGCAGCCGCGGUAAUACAGAGGUCCCAAGCGUUGUUCGGAUUCACUGGGCGUAAAGGGUGCGUAGGCGGUAUGACAAGUCUAACGUGAAAUGCUGGAGCUCAACUCCGGAACUGCGUAGGAAACUGUCAUGCUAGAGGGUUGGAGGGGGGACUGGAAUUCUCGGUGUAGCAGUGAAGUGCGUAGAUAUCGUGAGGAAUACCAGAGGCGAAGGCGGCUACCUGGACAAUUGCUGACGCUCAGGCACGAAAGCGUGGGGAGCAAAAG